CACCUGUGCACUUCUGUAGGCCACCCAGCCAAAAGCCUUCCUGGCAUGCGGCUGGAACACAGUGGUCUACGUUUUCUCAUCAACUCCAAUGAAUGUGUAGAGUGUAGAACAAGGUCCAUAAUGGCCUUAUAAAAUCUAAUACAACUUUCAACAACGGAUCUCUUGGCUCUCGCAUCGAUGAAGAACGCAGCGAAAUGCGAUAAGUAAUGUGAAUUGCAGAAUUCAGUGAAUCAUCGAAUCUUUGAACGCACCUUGCGCUCCUUGGUAUUCCGAGGAGCAUGCCUGUUUGAGUGUCAUUAAAUCAUCAACCCCCACUCCCUUGUGGUAUGGGGUGUUUGGACUUGGAGAUUGCAGGCCCACCAGCUGGGCCAGCUCCUCUGAAAUGCAUUAGCAGAGCCCAUCAUGUGCAUCUGUGGCUUGGUGUGAUAGUAAAUCUAUACCUAGCAAUGUUGUGCAUCG
Molecule: ribosomal RNA, 459 nt
Filed under: Pluteus leoninus
Lineage: Eukaryota; Fungi; Basidiomycota; Agaricomycetes; Agaricales; Pluteaceae
Description: eukaryotic LSU rRNA
Rfam family: 5.8S ribosomal RNA (bases 143-296)
Source: RNAcentral